This 322-nucleotide long non-coding RNA is filed under the name Dromaius novaehollandiae (emu). RNAcentral describes it as "lncRNA (ENSDNVG00000013864.1)". Lineage: Eukaryota; Metazoa; Chordata; Aves; Casuariiformes; Dromaiidae. The record is from RNAcentral.
AGACUGUGCUGUACAGUCAGCAUUUGGCUUAUUUUCCCUCCCCAGGGCAUAUGCAUGUGAGCUGUGAGUAUCAUCAUACAGAAAACGGAAGGAAGCAAAUGGCAGGUCUGGAGGAAGCGGGUGACACGUUCUAAGAGGUGAAGAGACUCCUGUGGAGAACAAAGCUGAUCAGCGUGGAAGCUCUGCUGUGUGUGGAGGCUCAGCUGCCGCUCGAGGAGAUAGUGGAUCCAACACUGCCAUCUUCUGACUGCACAGCAGAAAGAUACUACAUAUAUGUGCUGGUACAAAGAAGAAUCUUAAGGUGUUCAAAACUCAACUUUCU